UCUGACGGCAAAUGGCAUUGUCGGAUUACUGGCAACCCGCGGAACAGUUAAACGUUCUUAUACUCAUGAGCUGAUCGCGCGUUUCGCUAAUGAAUGCCAGAUAGAAAUGCUGGGCUCGGCAGAGAUGGUUGAGUUGGCUGAAGCGAAGCUACAUGGCGAAGAUGUUUCUCUGGAUGCACUAAAACGUAUCCUACGCCCGUGGUUAAGAAUGAAAGAGCCGCCAGAUACCGUUGUAUUGGGUUGCACCCAUUUCCCUCUACUACAAGAAGAACUGUUACAAGUGCUGCCAGAGGGAACCCGGCUGGUGGAUUCUGGCGCAGCGAUUGCUCGCCGAACGGCCUGGUUGUUAGAACAUGAAGCCCCGGAUGCAAAAUCUGCCGAUGCGAAUAUUGCCUUUUGUAUGGCAAUGACGCCAGGAGCUGAACAAUUAUUGCCCGUUUUACAGCGUUACGGCUUCGAAACGCUCGAAAAACUGGCAGUUUUAGGCUGAUUUGGUUGAAUGUUGCGCGGUCAGAAAAUUAUUUUAAAUUUCCUCUUGUCAGGCCGGAAUAACUCCCUAUAAUGCGCCACCACUGACACGGAACAACGGCAAACACGCCGCCGGGUCAGCGGGGUUCUCCUGAGAACUCCGGCAGAGAAAGCAAAAAUAAAUGCUUGACUCUGUAACGGGAAAGCGUAUUAUGCACACCCCGCGCCGCUGAGAAAAAGCAAAGCGGCACUGCUCUUUAACAAUUUAUCAGACAAUCUGUGUGAGCACUCGAAGAUACGGAUUCUUAACGUCGAAAGACGAAAAAUGAAUACCAAGUCUCAGGAGUGAACACGUAAUUCAUUACGAAGUUUAAUUCUUUGAGCAUCAAACUUUUAAAUUGAAGAGUUUGAUCAUGGCUCAGAUUGAACGCUGGCGGCAGGCCUAACACAUGCAAGUCGAACGGUAACAGGAAGAGCUUGCUCUUGCUGACGAGUGGCGGACGGGUGAGUAAUGUCUGGGAAACUGCCUGAUGGAGGGGGAUAACUACUGGAAACGGUAGCUAAUACCGCAUAACGUCGCAAGACCAAAGAGGGGGACCUUCGGGCCUCUUGCCAUCGGAUGUGCCCAGAUGGGAUUAGCUAGUAGGUGGGGUAACGGCUCACCUAGGCGACGAUCCCUAGCUGGUCUGAGAGGAUGACCAGCCACACUGGAACUGAGACACGGUCCAGACUCCUACGGGAGGCAGCAGUGGGGAAUAUUGCACAAUGGGCGCAAGCCUGAUGCAGCCAUGCCGCGUGUAUGAAGAAGGCCUUCGGGUUGUAAAGUACUUUCAGCGGGGAGGAAGGGAGUAAAGUUAAUACCUUUGCUCAUUGACGUUACCCGCAGAAGAAGCACCGGCUAACUCCGUGCCAGCAGCCGCGGUAAUACGGAGGGUGCAAGCGUUAAUCGGAAUUACUGGGCGUAAAGCGCACGCAGGCGGUUUGUUAAGUCAGAUGUGAAAUCCCCGGGCUCAACCUGGGAACUGCAUCUGAUACUGGCAAGCUUGAGUCUCGUAGAGGGGGGUAGAAUUCCAGGUGUAGCGGUGAAAUGCGUAGAGAUCUGGAGGAAUACCGGUGGCGAAGGCGGCCCCCUGGACGAAGACUGACGCUCAGGUGCGAAAGCGUGGGGAGCAAACAGGAUUAGAUACCCUGGUAGUCCACGCCGUAAACGAUGUCGACUUGGAGGUUGUGCCCUUGAGGCGUGGCUUCCGGAGCUAACGCGUUAAGUCGACCGCCUGGGGAGUACGGCCGCAAGGUUAAAACUCAAAUGAAUUGACGGGGGCCCGCACAAGCGGUGGAGCAUGUGGUUUAAUUCGAUGCAACGCGAAGAACCUUACCUGGUCUUGACAUCCACAGAACUUU
This 1869-nucleotide ribosomal RNA is filed under the name Escherichia coli P0298942.9. Its description in RNAcentral is "partial 23S ribosomal RNA". The stretch from base 864 to 1869 matches the Rfam family "Bacterial small subunit ribosomal RNA", at positions 1 to 999 of the family's 1533-position model. Lineage: Bacteria; Pseudomonadati; Pseudomonadota; Gammaproteobacteria; Enterobacterales; Enterobacteriaceae. The record is from RNAcentral.